UGGUGAUCACUUCAUGGUGAC
Molecule: non-coding RNA, 21 nt
Filed under: Caenorhabditis elegans
Lineage: Eukaryota; Metazoa; Nematoda; Chromadorea; Rhabditida; Rhabditidae
Source: RNAcentral